Molecule: long non-coding RNA, 851 nt
Organism: Oncorhynchus keta (chum salmon)
Lineage: Eukaryota; Metazoa; Chordata; Actinopteri; Salmoniformes; Salmonidae
Exons: 6
Source: RefSeq, a predicted model, not a curated record
UAGAUAAUAGACAGUAACAGCAGUAUACUGUAGGUAGGGGUAAAGGAUAGAUAAUAGACAGUAACAGCAGUAUACAGUAGGUAGGGGUAAAGGAUAGAUAAUAGACAGUAACAGCAGUAUACUGUAGGUAGGGGUAAAGGAUAGAUAAUAGACAGUAACAGCAGUAUACUGUAGGUAGGGGUAAAGGAUAGAUAAUAGACAGUAACAGCAGUAUACAGUAGGUAGGGGUAAAGGAUAGAUAAUAGACAGUAACAGCAGUAUACUGUAGGUAGGGGUAAAGGAUAGAUAAUAGACAGUAACAGCAGUAUACUGUAGGUAGGGGUAAAGGAUAGAUAUUAGACAGUAACAGCAGUAUACUGUAGGUAGGGGUAAAGGAUAGAUAAUAGACAGUAACAGCAGUAUACUGUAGGUAGGGGUAAAGGAUAGAUAAUAGACAGUAACAGCAGUAUACUGUAGGUAGGGGUAAAGGAUAGAUAAUAGACAGUAACAGCAGUAUACUGUAGGUAGGGGUAAAGGAUAGAUAGUAGACAGUAACAGCAGUAUACUGUAGGUAGGGGUAAAGGAUAGAUAGUAGACAGUAACAGCAGUAUACUGUAGGUAGGGGUAAAGGAUAGAUAAUAGACAGUAACAGCAGUAUACUGUAGGUAGGGGUAAAGGAUAGAUAGUAGACAGUAACAGCAGUAUACUGUAGGUAGGGGUAAAGGAUAGAUAAUAGACAGUAACAGCAGUAUACUGUAGGUAGGGGUAAAGGAUAGAUAAUAGACAGUAACAGCAGUAUUAUAUGGUGGGUAUGAACGCGUGUGUGGCGUCAGUAUGGAUGUGUGUGUGUGUAUGUGAGUGUGAGUGUGUGU